Molecule: non-coding RNA, 239 nt
Filed under: Andrena haemorrhoa
Lineage: Eukaryota; Metazoa; Arthropoda; Insecta; Hymenoptera; Andrenidae
Source: RNAcentral
AAGGGCGAAGUAGCGGGUUUAUGAGUGGACACGACGGUAUCCUCCGGUACACAAACGUGUCUGUGGAACCUAACCCAGACUUAACCUUUACCCUUGGUGGUAAAAGUAGUCGACGAGUGUUGACAUACUUCCUUGGUGUUGGUUUGUUCUAUCCCUUCUUCCAAUAAAAAAAUCGAAAGGGUGUCUCAUAAACCCCUUCUUUUGGAAGUCUGAAGAACCUAAAGCUCUCGUAAUUUUUU